AGGAGGAACAACCGCAGUGGCAGUGGUCAGCUCUGAAGCCCUAGAGUCAGCUCCUGCAGUAACUAAGGAGCUCUCCGUCUGCAGGGCCUGGAGGCUCUGGGGUGGG
This 106-nucleotide microRNA precursor is filed under the name Canis lupus familiaris (dog). Its description in RNAcentral is "mir-8834 microRNA precursor family". It matches the Rfam family "mir-8834 microRNA precursor family". Lineage: Eukaryota; Metazoa; Chordata; Mammalia; Carnivora; Canidae. RNAcentral also lists the same sequence under 1 other name. The record is from Rfam by way of RNAcentral.